This 2818-nucleotide ribosomal RNA is filed under the name Brassica rapa (field mustard). RNAcentral's name for it is "eukaryotic LSU rRNA". It matches the Rfam family "Eukaryotic large subunit ribosomal RNA", at positions 436 to 3401 of the family's 3401-position model. Lineage: Eukaryota; Viridiplantae; Streptophyta; Magnoliopsida; Brassicales; Brassicaceae. The record is from RNAcentral.
AUCAGUUCCGUUGCAUGUAAAACCGCAUGUCCCCAUGCUGAUACCGGAAGUUGAGACUUCAUAAGCAGUGGCCGGGCUAUCAGCUGGAUACGUGUAAUGAAGGAUUCGGCCAAGCCGUUCUGUGUAUGGACAUGUGCCACGGAGUGUUCUACUCUUACCCCCAUGGACAUACAAUAUUCAUUAAACGCUUGGGACGUGAACUCACCAGCAUUGUCUAGACGUAUAGUCUUAAGAGGGAAAUCUGGAAAGUGUGCUCUCAGUCUUAUCAUCUGAGCAAGUAGCCGUGCAAAGGCUAGGUUUCUAGUGGAUAGUAGACAGACAUGCCACCAUCUGGUCGAUGCAUCAAUGAGGACCAUAAAGUAUCUAAACGUCCCACAAGGUGGGUGUAUUGGUCCACAUAUGUCUCCUUGAAUCCUUUCCAGAAAGUUUAAGGUUUCUUUGUUAACCUUGGCUGGUGAUGGCCUGAUUAUGAGUUUCCCUUGUGCAAAUGCUGCACAUGUGAGAUUUCGUGGGAUCACUCCUUUAAACGUGUGCCCUUGUGAAUUCAUCAUCAGUUUUCGCAUCAUCAGUGUGCCCUUGGGUAUAGGGGCGAAAGACUAAUCGAACCAUCUAGUAGCUGGUUCCCUCCGAAGUUUCCCUCAGGAUAGCUGGAGCUCGGAAACGAGUUCUAUCGGGUAAAGCCAAUGAUUAGGGCAUCGUGGACGCAAUGUUCUCGACUUAUUCUCAAACUUUAAAUUGUAAGGACGGGGUGGCUGCUUUGUGAGACCAUCCCACGGAAUGAGAGCUCCAUUGUGGCCAUUUUUGGUAUGCAGAAUUGGCGAUGCGGGAUGAACCGAAGCCGGGUUACGGUGCCCAACUCGCGCUAACCUAGAACCCAAUAAGGGUGUUGGUCGAUUAAGACAGCAGACGGUGGACAUGGAAGUCAAAUCCGCUAAGAGGUGUAAACAACUCACUGCCGAACAACGUAGCCCAAGAAAUGGAUGGGGCUGAACGCGCGACCGGACCUAUGACGCGCGCCGUCGGGGCAAGAGCAGGCCUCGAUGAGUAGGUGGGCGCGGGCGGUCGCGCUAAACCUAGGGUCGCGAGCCCGGGCGGACGGCCGCUGGUGCAGAUCUUGGUGGUAGUAGAUAAAUUUCAAAUGAGACUUUGAAGGCCGAAGAGGGGAAAGGUUCCUAUGUGAACGGCGCUUGCACAUGGGUUAGUCGGAUCCUAAGAGUGGGAACCUAGUCUGAUAGUGCUUAUGCGUGAACUUCGAAUGGGGAUCCGGUUAAAAUUUCGGAACCGGGAGAUGGCGGUUGACGACAACUGUUAGGGAGUCCCGAGACGUUCGGCGGAAUUCCGAAAGAGUAUCUUUCUGUUUAACAGCCUGCCCACCCUGAAACGGCUCAGCCGGAGGUAGGUUCCAGCGGCUGAAGAGUACUGCACGUCGCGUGGUGUCCGGUGCUAUCCCCGGGGCCUUGAAAAUCCGAGGACCCGAGUGCCGCCUCACGCCCCGGUUGUACCAUAACGCAUCAGGCUCCAAGGUAGAACAGCCUCUGGUCGAUGGAACAAUGUAGGCAAGGGAAGUCGGUCAAAAUGGAUCCUAACUUCGGGAAAAGGAUUGGCUCUGAGGGCUGGGCUCUGGGGUCCCAGUUCCGAGCCUGUCGACUGUUGGCUGGCUGCUGAGCUGCUAACCUUGGCGAGAGCGGCCACCUCGUGUCGGCCGGGGGACGGACUGGGAACGGUCUUUCGGGAGCUUUCCCCGCGGGCGUCGAACAGGCCAACUACAGAACUGGUAACGACAAGGGGAAUCCGACUGUUUAAUAUAACAAAGCAUUGCGAUGGUCCUGCGGAUGCUAACGCAAUGUGAUCUUCUGCCCAGUGCUCUGAAUGUCAAAGUGAAGAAUUCAACCAAGCGCUGGUAAAGGCGGGAGUAACUAUGAUGCUCUUAAGGUAGCCAAAGCCUCGUCAUCUAAUUAUGUGACGUGCAUGAAUGGAUUAACGAGAUUCCCACUGUCCCGUGUCUACUAUCCAGCGAAACCACAGCCAAGGGAACGGGCUUGGCAGAAUCAGCUGAGGAAAGAAGACCCUGUUUAGCUUGACUCUAGUCCGAUUUUUGAAAUGACUUGAGAGGUGUAAAUAAGUGGGAGUUCCGCGGCAAGUGAAAUACCACAUACUUUUAAUUAUUUUACGUUCGACUCCGUGAAUCCAAAGGCGGGGUAAACAACCCCUUCUUUUUAGACCCAAGACUCGCUCUGGCGGGUCGAUCCGGGCGGAGGGCAUUGUCAGAUGGGGAGUUUGGCUGGGGGUGGCACUUCUGUUAAAAGAUAAAGCAGGUGUCCUAAGAAUGAGCUCAACGAAAACAGAAAUCUCGUGUGGUAGCAAAAGGGUAAAAGCUCUGUUGAUUCUGAUUUUCAGACGAAUAUGAACCGUGAAAGCGGCUAUCGAUCUUUAGACCUUCAGAAUUUGAAGAACUAGAUGUCACGCCCCCAAUCCAGAAUAGGAUUGUGGGACGCGAUGUUCGAGGAAACGUGACUAGGCUAGUCUUAGGACAUCAAGCCAAGCGUUCCAUGGUCGAAAAUGAAGGUUAAGAGAUAUAAGAAACUUAGAGCCAUAACCUUAUACAAGCUAAGAGACAGGCUAGGACGAGUAAGGCGGUUCUUGGACGAAGUGGACGAGUAGCUCUGGCCAGCUAAAGAAGCUAUGGUUUCAGUUCAGUCCACUCAUCCCUACUAGUCGUCCACUAGCUGGACUACUAGCUACUCAGGUAGCAGCUGAGAGUCAGCUCAUCUCAGUUAGACGGACUGCCGGCCUUUAGGCCGAUGGUCCCGGGUCUGGU